Neopsephotus bourkii (Bourke's parrot) is the source of this 839-nucleotide long non-coding RNA. RefSeq lists it as uncharacterized. The record is from RefSeq and is a predicted model, not a curated record. Lineage: Eukaryota; Metazoa; Chordata; Aves; Psittaciformes; Psittacidae. The transcript is spliced from 2 exons.
UGUUUUCACUCGGAAUUCUAUUCUUAAGAACUAACAUCUUGCCACGAAUAAUAGAAUUCAAACAACCUGAAUGCCAGGGUACCUUACGAAAGUUCUUGUCUUUGCACCCUGGUAAAAGAACUUUUCCUGUGUAGGAGUUCUAAUCUAUGUUUCGAUAGCAAAAUGAAGGAGCUCUUUCAGAAAGACUAAGAGCAAUCACCAGGAACUUCAUCUAACAGUUUUGUUCUAGUCUCCAUAUGUUCAAUAGUAGCAGUGCAGGUAACUUCUUAAUUUCUUGCUCAUUUGUAGGAACUGGACCCACAGGUUGGAGAGCAGUUGCUACAGCUCUGGGACAGUAUUCCUUUGACAGGAAAAAACUCAACUGAUUGAACAUGUCAAGUAAUGUGAUAGAGCUGUCGAGGUUGAAACGUCAGAUGUAACUUCCAGAACCCAUAGCAUGCCAGCAGUAUGAAGAUGAGGAGGAAGGUGGCACCACAAGCUCCAGAAGUUGUUAGUCAUGCUGUGAAGCUAGUAGAGGAAAAAUAAGGGGAAUUAUGUUGGUUUCAGCAUUUCCUUGUCUUAACAAAUGUCCUGAUGUUAGUCACCAGCCUGGUUUUGACUGAAUUAGUUUGUUUAUAGAAGCAUGCAGUUGAUACUUAAAAACACAUUUAAAUUCCAGACUGAGUUUGAAACAGUAGAGCACAUGCAAGUUGUUUGUGGGUUUAAAAUAGCACAGCAGACAGUUUAAAUACACAGUUUACACUUAAAGCUUUCUCAACACAAUAAAAUCUGUGAGAGAAACCAGUGUAAUGUGAAUUAAUCGAUCUUGCAGUUUGCUUAAAAUAAAUAAAUUGAGAAUA